RNAcentral lists this transfer RNA (78 nucleotides) under Albula glossodonta (roundjaw bonefish). RNAcentral's name for it is "tRNA-OTHER". It matches the Rfam family "tRNA". Rfam says of the family: Transfer RNA (tRNA) molecules are approximately 80 nucleotides in length. Their secondary structure includes four short double-helical elements and three loops (D, anti-codon, and T loops). Lineage: Eukaryota; Metazoa; Chordata; Actinopteri; Albuliformes; Albulidae. The record is from RNAcentral.
GCCGAAGUGGCUCAGUUGGAAGAACGUUAGACUGAAGAUCUAAAGGUCCAUAUUCUGGUUCAGUCCCGGGUUUCUUCA